UACGUAGGGGGCAAGCGUUGUCCGGAAUCAUUGGGCGUAAAGAGCGCGUAGGCGGCCCUGUAAGUCCGCUGUGAAAGUCAAGGGCUCAACCCUUGGAUGCCGGUGGAUACUGCAGGGCUAGAGUCCGGAAGAGGUGAGUGGAAUUCCUGGUGUAGCGGUGAAAUGCGCAGAUAUCAGGAGGAACACCUGUGGCGAAGGCGGCUCUCUGGGACGGUACUGACGCUGAGACGCGAAAGCGUGGGGAGCAAACAGG
RNAcentral lists this ribosomal RNA (253 nucleotides) under uncultured bacterium. RNAcentral describes it as "partial 16S ribosomal RNA". It matches the Rfam family "Bacterial small subunit ribosomal RNA", at positions 524 to 776 of the family's 1533-position model. The record is from RNAcentral.